UCUUCUGCCUGGGUUCUCCCAC
This 22-nucleotide non-coding RNA is filed under the name Rattus norvegicus (Norway rat). Lineage: Eukaryota; Metazoa; Chordata; Mammalia; Rodentia; Muridae. The record is from RNAcentral.